This is a non-coding RNA of Maylandia zebra (zebra mbuna), 234 nucleotides long. NCBI's taxonomy places the organism in Eukaryota, Metazoa, Chordata, Actinopteri, Cichliformes, Cichlidae. The record is from RefSeq and is a predicted model, not a curated record.
AGUCCCUGGCAGCAGCCAAUGGCAAGGUUGUGCCAGCCAGCAGGAUGCUGCGGAGCUGCUGAAGGGCGGGGCUGGAGUCUGAAAGGCGGCCUGUUGGACUACGAAUGCCAGUGCGGAGCUAAGAAGAUCAAAGAGGAGCUGUUGUUCUUGAACCUGCCAAAUGUGCUGAUCCUCCAGCUGAAGUGGUUUACGUUCACUCCAUCGUUCACCGUGGAGAAGAAGAACAGCCCCAUU